This 460-nucleotide ribosomal RNA is filed under the name uncultured bacterium. RNAcentral's name for it is "partial 16S ribosomal RNA". It matches the Rfam family "Bacterial small subunit ribosomal RNA", at positions 338 to 795 of the family's 1533-position model. The record is from RNAcentral.
CCUACGGGUGGCAGCAGUGAGGAAUAUUGGUCAAUGGGCGCGAGCCUGAACCAGCCAAGUAGCGUGAAGGAUGAAUGCCCUACGGGUUGUAAACUUCUUUUAUAAAGGAAUAAAGUGAUGCACGUGUGCCUUUUUGUAUGUACUUUAUGAAUAAGGAUCGGCUAACUCGGUGCCAGCAGCCGCGGUAAUACGGAGGAUCCGAGCGUUAUCCGGAUUUAUUGGGUUUAAAGGGAGCGUAGAUGGGUUGUUAAGUCAGUUGUGAAAGUUUGCGGCUCAACCGUAAAAUUGCAAUUGAUACUGGCAGUCUAGAGUACAGUUGAGGUAGGCAGAAUUCGUGGUGUAGCGGUGAAAUGCGUAGAGAUGACGAAGAACUCCGAUUGCGAAGGCAGCUUACUAAACUGCCACUGACAUUGAUGCGCGAAAGUGUGGGUAUCAAACAGGAUUAGAUACCCGGGUAGUC